CGGAAGGCUGGCCAGGAGGAAGGAGGCUUUGGGGAAGGAGUCUCCAGAGGAGCACCAAGACAGGCAGGUGCUGUGUUGUAACAGCUAGAAAACUGUGGGGAGAUGAAACAUUCUGACAAAUUGCCCUCAGCCUGGCCCUCGGUUCCCUUGGAACGGAGGUGAUGGUGAUGGCACCUUGGCACCAUGGACAAGCCCUUGGCUUUAGCCUGAGGCUGCAGGGGACUGACCUUACCCAGAGAGCCACUCCUUGGUGGGUGAGGGAACACGAGUCAGUGACAGCAAGACCUGAAGAUGAGUUUUCAGGGAGUAAAAUGUUUCUGGGAGUCAAAGAGUGCAGGGCUUUGGUGAGACAA
This is a long non-coding RNA of Chiroxiphia lanceolata (lance-tailed manakin), 353 nucleotides long. RefSeq lists it as uncharacterized. The transcript is spliced from 2 exons. The record is from RefSeq and is a predicted model, not a curated record. Lineage: Eukaryota; Metazoa; Chordata; Aves; Passeriformes; Pipridae.